GACGAACGCUGGCGGCGUGCCUAAUACAUGCAAGUCGAACGCUUUUUCUUUCACCGGAGCUUGCUCCACCGAAAGAAAAAGAGUGGCGAACGGGUGAGUAACACGUGGGUAACCUGCCCAUCAGAAGGGGAUAACACUUGGAAACAGGUGCUAAUACCGUAUAACACUAUUUUCCGCAUGGAAGAAACUUGAAAGGCGCUUUUGCGUCACUGAUGGAUGGACCCGCGGUGCAUUAGCUAGUUGGUGAGGUGACGGCUCACCAAGGCAACGAUGCAUAGCCGACCUGAGAGGGUGAUCGGCCACACUGGGACUGAGACACGGCCCAGACUCCUACGGGAGGCAGCAGUAGGGAAUCUUCGGCAAUGGACGAAAGUCUGACCGAGCAACGCCGCGUGAGUGAAGGAGGUUUUCGGAUCGUAAAACUCUGUUGUUAGAGAAGAACAAGGAUGAGAGUAAAACGUUCAUCCCUUGACGGUAUCUAACCAGAAAGCCACGGCUAACUACGUGCCAGCCGCCGCCGUAA
RNAcentral lists this ribosomal RNA (523 nucleotides) under uncultured bacterium. RNAcentral describes it as "partial 16S ribosomal RNA". It matches the Rfam family "Bacterial small subunit ribosomal RNA", at positions 28 to 523 of the family's 1533-position model. The record is from RNAcentral.